Molecule: ribosomal RNA, 1321 nt
Filed under: Salpingella sp.
Lineage: Eukaryota; Ciliophora; Spirotrichea; Tintinnida; Tintinnidae
Description: bacterial SSU rRNA
Source: RNAcentral
UGACUCAACACGGGGAAACUUACCAGGUCCAGACAUAGUGAGGAUUGACAGAUUGAUAGCUCUUUCUUGAUUCUGUGGGUGGUGGUGCAUGGCCGUUCUUAGUUGGUGGAGUGAUUUGUCUGGUUAAUUCCGUUAACGAACGAGACCUUAGCCUACUAAAUAGUCGCUCCAAUGACCAUUGGCUGCGACUUCUUAGAGGGACUUUGUAAUCAAAUGCAAGGAAGUUUGAGGCAAUAACAGGUCUGUGAUGCCCUUAGAUGUCCUGGGCCGCACGCGUGCUACACUGACGCAUACAGCGAGUAUCUCCAGCUCCGUGAGGCAGCUGGUAAUCAGCAAUAUGCGUCGUGAUGGGGAUAGAUCUUUGGAAUUUUUGAUCUUGAACGAGGAAUGCCUAGUAAGCGCAAGUCAUCAGCUUGCGUUGAUUAAGUCCCUGCCCUUUGUACACACCGCCCGUCGCUCCUACCGAUUUCGAGUGGUCCGGUGAACCCUUUGGACCGGAGCCCGUUCCUUGCGGGCACUGGAAAGUCGAGUAAACCACAUCACUUAGAGGAAGGAAAAGUCGUAACAAGGUUUCCGUAGGUGAACCUGCGGAAGGAUCAUUAGCACUUGACCAAACCUACUCAACCAAGCCAUACUGUUGCAGAGCGCAAGCUUUGCAGCUUAAACCUAACCAAAAGAAGCUUAACUAAGCUMAUCAAAAACCAAAUCCUCAACGAUGGAUAUCUAGGUUCCCACAACGAUGAAGAACGCAGCGAAGUGCGAUAAGCAAUGCGAAUUGCAGAACCGGGAGUCAUCAGAUUUUUGAACGCAACUGGCUCCUGGGGGCUCUCCCCCAGGAAUGCUUCUUCCAGUGUGUCAUUAUCUCCUCACCYAAACCUUAAUGCGAUAGAUGCCCUUCUAUUGCUAAGCUUGAAAGCACUCUGAGCUCUGCAGCGGCCGUCUUCGGAYGGAAGCACUCAAUGCAGCAGUCACAUUCUCCAAUGUGAACUCAUUGAGAGUAGAGUCAGCGCAUGUCUCAUGCCAGUGCUUAGACACUCAAAUUUUCACAGCAUCUGGGAUGAAGUAGGACCACCCGCUGAACUUAAGCAUAUCAUUAAGCGGAGGAAAAGAAACUAACAAGGAUUCCCUUAGUACGGGCGACGGAAGCGGGAAAAGCCCACACUGGUAAUCUCCGGUCGAGAGGCCGGCGAAUUGUAAUCUGAAGGACCGUAGCCAGGGCAAGCAGGGGAGGCGCAGAAGUGUCCACGAGCGGACCGCCAAAGAGGGUGAGAGCCCCGUCUGUGGUGUCUUCCCUUGUCCGGCUGGGGCCCAAAGAGUCGUG